UUUGAUCCUGGCUCAGAUUGAACGCUGGCGGCAGGCCUAACACAUGCAAGUCGAGCGGCAGCACAGAGGAACUUGUUCCUUGGGUGGCGAGCGGCGGACGGGUGAGUAAUGCCUGGGAAAUUGCCCUGAUGUGGGGGAUAACCAUUGGAAACGAUGGCUAAUACCGCAUGAUGCCUACGGGCCAAAGAGGGGGACCUUCGGGCCUCUCGCGUCAGGAUAUGCCCAGGUGGGAUUAGCUAGUUGGUGAGGUAAUGGCUCACCAAGGCGACGAUCCCUAGCUGGUCUGAGAGGAUGAUCAGCCACACUGGAACUGAGACACGGUCCAGACUCCUACGGGAGGCAGCAGUGGGGAAUAUUGCACAAUGGGCGCAAGCCUGAUGCAGCCAUGCCGCGUGUAUGAAGAAGGCCUUCGGGUUGUAAAGUACUUUCAGUCGUGAGGAAGGUUGUAGUGUGAAUAGCACUAUGAUUUGACGUUAGCGACAGAAGAAGCACCGGCUAACUCCG
This 504-nucleotide ribosomal RNA is filed under the name Vibrio sp. AER No.126. RNAcentral's name for it is "bacterial SSU rRNA". It matches the Rfam family "Bacterial small subunit ribosomal RNA", at positions 12 to 505 of the family's 1533-position model. The record is from RNAcentral. RNAcentral also lists the same sequence under 4 other names. Lineage: Bacteria; Pseudomonadati; Pseudomonadota; Gammaproteobacteria; Vibrionales; Vibrionaceae.